RNAcentral lists this ribosomal RNA (749 nucleotides) under uncultured Lachnospiraceae bacterium. Its description in RNAcentral is "bacterial SSU rRNA". It matches the Rfam family "Bacterial small subunit ribosomal RNA", at positions 28 to 776 of the family's 1533-position model. Lineage: Bacteria; Bacillati; Bacillota; Clostridia; Lachnospirales; Lachnospiraceae. The record is from RNAcentral.
GAUGAACGCUGGCGGCGUGCCUAACACAUGCAAGUCGAACGGAGAUUAUUGACGGAAGUUUUCGGAUGGAGGACGGUAAUCUUAGUGGCGGACGGGUGAGUAACGCGUGGGUAACCUGCCCCGUACAGGGGGAUAGCGUCGGGAAACUGACGGUAAGACCGCAUAGGACCACAUAUUCGCAUGGAUAAGUGGUGAAAAGGGAAACCUGGUAUGGGAUGGACCCGCGUCCGAUUAGCCAGUUGGCAGGGUAAAGGCCUACCAAAGCUUCGAUCGGUAGCCGGACUGAGAGGUCGGACGGCCACAUUGGGACUGAGACACGGCCCAGACUCCUACGGGAGGCAGCAGUGGGGGAUAUUGCACAAUGGAGGAAACUCUGAUGCAGCGACGCCGCGUGAGUGAAGAAGUGCUCCGGCAUGUAAAGCUCUUUCAGCAGGGAAGAUGAUGACGGUACCUGAAUAAGAAGCCCCGGCUAACUACGUGCCAGCAGCCGCGGUAAUACGUAGGGGGCAAGCGUUAUCCGGAUUUACUGGGUGUAAAGGGAGCGCAGGCGGUCUGGCAAGUUGAGAGUGGAAGCAGGGGGCUCAACCCCCUGACUGCUCCCAAAACUGUUGGACUGGAGUAUGGGAGAGGCAGGCGGAAUUCCUAGUGUAGCGGUGAAAUGCUCAGAUAUUAGGAAGAACACCGGUGGCGAAGGCGGCCUGCUGGACCAAAACUGACGCUGAGGCUCGAGAGCGUGGGGAGCGAACAGG